CUACGUGCCAGCAGCCGCGGUAAUACGGAAGGUCCAGGCGUUAUCCGGAUUUAUUGGGUUUAAAGGGAGCGUAGGCGGAUUAUUAAGUCAGUGGUGAAAGACGGUGGCUCAACCAUCGUUAGCCAUUGAAACUGGUAGUCUUGAGUGCAGACAGGGAUGCUGGAACUCGUGGUGUAGCGGUGAAAUGCUUAGAUAUCACGAUGAACUCCGAUCGCGAAGGCAGGUGUCCGGGCUGCAACUGACGCUGAGGCUCGAAAGUGUGGGUAUCAAACAGGAUUAGAUACCCUGGUAGUCCACGCCGUAAACGAUGAGUGCUAGGUGUUAGACCCUUUCCGGGGUUUAGUGCCGUAGCUAACGCAUUAAGCACUCCGCCUGGGGAGUACGACCGCAAGGUUGAAACUCAAAGGAAUUGACGGGGGCCCGCACAAGCGGUGGAGCAUGUGGUUUAAUUCGAAGCAACGCGAAGAACCUUACCAGGUCUUGACAUCCCUCUGACCGCUCUAGAGAUAGAGUUUUC
RNAcentral lists this ribosomal RNA (517 nucleotides) under uncultured bacterium. RNAcentral's name for it is "bacterial SSU rRNA". It matches the Rfam family "Bacterial small subunit ribosomal RNA", at positions 501 to 1016 of the family's 1533-position model. The record is from RNAcentral.